This 468-nucleotide ribosomal RNA is filed under the name uncultured bacterium. Its description in RNAcentral is "partial 16S ribosomal RNA". It matches the Rfam family "Bacterial small subunit ribosomal RNA", at positions 28 to 507 of the family's 1533-position model. The record is from RNAcentral.
GACGAACGCUGGCGGCGUGCUUAACACAUGCAAGUCGAACGGAAAGGCCCUGCUUUUGUGGGGUGCUCGAGUGGCGAACGGGUGAGUAACACGUGAGUAACCUGCCCUUGACUUUGGGAUAACUUCAGGAAACUGGGGCUAAUACCGGAUAGGAGCUCCUGCUGCAUGGUGGGGGUUGGAAAGUUUCGGCGGUUGGGGAUGGACUCGCGGCUUAUCAGCUUGUUGGUGGGGUAGUGGCUUACCAAGGCUUUGACGGGUAGCCGGCCUGAGAGGGUGACCGGCCACAUUGGGACUGAGAUACGGCCCAGACUCCUACGGGAGGCAGCAGUUGGAAAUAGUGCACAAUGGGCGGAAGCCUGAUGCAGCAACGCCGCGUGCGGGAUGACGGCCUUCGGGUUGUAAACCGCUUUCGCCUGUGAGGAAGCGUGAGUGACGGUAAUGGGUAAAGAAGCACCUGCUAACUACGUG